GGGCGAGCGCGCGCUGGCGAGUGCGCGGGCGGCGCGGACCCGGACCGCAACCCUCGGGAGGGGAGCGUCUCCGCCGCCCGCCUGGGAAGCGCGAAGGAAGCGCCGCCUCGUCUUCUCGACUGUCCACUCCAUGGCUGGCUACUGCACAGCUGCGUGGGUCAGGUGGAAGCUCGGAGAAAGGCCUCCUGGACCGACGGCCCCGACCUGCGGGCGGGGAUGCUUGCUGGACUUCGGUGUGCCAAUGGGGGUGGGGGAACGGCCCUCCGGUUCCUAGGCCUACGGCUAGCCCCGGCCGAAGGAAUGCUAGUCCCGGAGGGGAGGAGCAUAUUUGCAGGCUAUCCCUUCCGCGCUGGGAGUCCCAGGGCAAUUCCACUCACUUCUUUUAGGGCAGUCCAUCAAUGGCCACUCCCUUGUUUCAAGCUGUAAAGAAGAAUCCUAGAAUCCUCCUUCCUUAUAGAAUCAAAACUCAAGUUUCCCGAUGAAGAGUUAGGAAGCUCUUCCAGAGUCAUCUGUGCUGCCAGUGCACAAAAAAGCCAGGUUUCUUCAGUUAUUCCCCUUGACUUGAGAAACCGCUAAAGAGGUGGCUUUAGGGUACCCUACCACCCCGACGGCCGACCCUGUCCCCAGAGGUUGUAGGAAAGAUACCAUCCAGGCCCCAGAGUCGUAAGACAUAAUAUUCUGUAGCUUGGUUUCAAAGGAGGAAGGCGUGUAGGGAUGGGAACCUAGAAAAACCAGCCAUGGAGGGGACCUCUUCUGACUGAUUAUCGACCCCAAGUUCAGUUCUGUUUAAUUUCUACCUUGUCAUUUCCGUAUCCCUGUGCACCUCAACUCCCGAAUUUUACUGAGGCAAAAAGACGUAAAUAACUUAUCCUGAAUCUUACACUAGUAAGGGCCAGAGCAAGAACUUGAAAUGUGUUUGUAACAUAAAAUUAAGUCCUACUGAUUAAACAGUUUAUAGGACAACUUUUACAUUCCACUCUAGAUGAUCCAGGAGUGAAGAUAAAUACUAUCAAAAACAAUUAUUUUCUUUAUAAGGGGGCUUACCACAGGAUUUUUAAAAUAGCAAGCUCUAUUGUUGAAACAUCUGUUUUGGGGACACAUUGAUUCGUCUAUAUCACAAAUAACAGCCCCCAUUAGGUAAUGCCUAGACUAUGAAACAUGCUUAGGUAUCUUCAUAAGCUAACUAAAUUCUUCACAUUGUUUCUGUUGGGUCCAUUUAAAAACAAAUAUAGUGUCAUGGUUUUC
Molecule: long non-coding RNA, 1245 nt
Filed under: Mus pahari (shrew mouse)
Lineage: Eukaryota; Metazoa; Chordata; Mammalia; Rodentia; Muridae
Description: RIKEN cDNA 8430432A02 gene (MGP_PahariEiJ_G0003582.1)
Source: RNAcentral